Molecule: long non-coding RNA, 298 nt
Filed under: Homo sapiens (human)
Lineage: Eukaryota; Metazoa; Chordata; Mammalia; Primates; Hominidae
Description: non-protein coding lnc-ALG2-6:7
Source: RNAcentral
UGGGUUUCCAACUGUGGCAAGUAGCGGCUUCUCCCCACAUCCCUGGGCUGGACCCCAGGCCCCUGCAUACUGGGCACAGCCAGGACCCCCCGACCCCAGGGCCUGUGCUUCUAGGAAGAGGGGGAAAAUUGAAUUUGUGGGGAGUGGCAGGCACCUCCUUCCUUGGUUCACAAUGACAGUCCAACUUCUGCCAGUCCUGACUGUCAUUCAAGCCUUUUUGCUAUUUAAGAAUUUUGAGGAAGAAAACCGUCAUGUACUCAAAAUCCUGGUAAUCAGAAGUGUCUGGAGAUUUCGAGCU